CUGUGAAAACUGUCGACCAUUUUCAGCUGCCCUCGAAGGUCUUUCUUGGUCAAGUGGUCCAGCAUCCUGGCGUCUACAAGGCACUCCAUGAAGUAGCUGCGGUACUGGGGGAGGCCCAGGCUGGGGAGCCACUCGUUGCCGAUCCACUCGUGGUUCAUGUCCCCAUAGGCGAGUGUCUGCUUUUCAUAAAUGGAAAAGAUAUAUAAUGAUUAUUCUGAAGCCCUCAAAUACAGUCCAUUCGGGAAAGCCUCUAGAACUGCCUGUCCACGCCUCAUGGCUGCAAUGUGCCACUGAGACAUACACCCUGACCACAGAAGGCCAGUGGCGUCGCACGACAUUUCGGCAAGCUGUCUGAACAUACAGAAUGCAAAACAGUUGGGAUAGAGUUUUUGGUGAGUUAAAGAAUUGAGAAGCUGAAAAUUCAAAUAUACAGUACUCAAGAAGAGGCUUAAUUCCUUAGGAUUCCAUUAGUAAGAAAAUCUUUAAGUGGACAUAGUAUUAGGAUAGUAUUUAGUAAAAAAUCAACACAAAGGCACAGAGGAAAAGUCAUUAUGCCAAUUUUUGUGUUUGGAAAUUUAUUAGAGCACAAUUUCCCUAUCAGUAUAUCUUGUAAUAACAUUACCCUACCAGGAAAUUACAUACAUAAUCUCAGAAGCUGCCUAAGCCACAAGACUUUGUAUACAAGAUCAUAUGUUAAACAAAGCAAUCUAUAUUAAUUAAAAAUAACUGCCAUGGCACCAUAUGAGAAAUGUUCAAAAUUGUCCAUGAGACGUACUCUUUGAUGCUAUGUUUUGCUUGACCAGUGCUUUCAAAUCAUUAACAAUCCUGUACUCCGAAUAAACUAAGAUGCUAUAAACAUCAAAAAAAGUAGAUUACACAAGUUUUCAUACUCCAAUUGCUUUUUGCUGCUGUACAUGUAGUGAAGAAUAUAUUAGAGAAAGACUCCAACCUGAGCCCAGCUUCCCUCCUCAUCUUCCUGGGGUUACGUGGUUAGGAAUGCAAAAGAACAUAACUAUUAGUAUUGGUGAGCUCGGUAAUGCAGGCAACGCAACUCUGCAGGGAAGAUGCAGCUUCACUGAGUGAAAAAGUUCAGACUAUCAAAGCAUCAUGCAAAACUCAUGCAAAACCAACAAUUUCAACUUCUCAUGCAAGGAGCAGACUCUCUCCGUGCCAAGCAUAUUCAUGGAAGGAGAAAGGGCCACACAGUCAGUCACAUGGAGGCUCAACUGAGAUCUCUCCAAAAGGAGAGCUAGAUUAAAGCUAUUCUAAAAGACAGAGUCUACCAACUUGAAGUUCCUGGAAAAAAUCUAAAAUAAAAUACAAAUUCUACUUACACAUUUCAACUAAUAACUAAAGGAAAUACUUAUCUGGAACGACUGAAUGGAAAACAACAUUUUGUUUUCAACAAAAAGGCAAAGAACCCAGACGGUCUUAAGUGGAAAACGCGCUGGGAGGAGUGCAGGCUGUGGGGCGUGACUAACCGUUUGCGGCGUGGCUGCGAGCGUUUCCAUCUCUUCGUGUGUUAACCAGACAUUUCCUGUGGUCUAAGGUGACCCCAGUGCACCAACCACAUCCAGGGCAAGGGAAGCAGUGACAAAGAGGAGAGGGGCACACGCAUAAGCCACAGGCACAGAGAAGGGGCCGAGGAGGCAAAGUUCGCUCUUCUCACUUUUCAGUUCAGAUGCCCGUACAGAAUAACCAUUCCCUGUUAACACUGGGUCGUCAACACCAUCAGGAGAAGAGCACACGAUGACGAGAGCUUUAGAUGCCAUGCUUACCCGAGGUAUGUGAAAUAUCAAGAGAAGAAAACACGUUGUGUACUUCUGGAAACUUUGAGUAAUUCUCAAGUAACUAUUGAUUCAAUAUAUUUAAAGCAGAUUAACAACAAAGAACCCAGCAUGAAACUCUUGCUUUGGCUAUUGGAGGGCUUUCUCGCAGAUGUUCCGUGACGGCCUGAAAGGCUGAAGGCAGGCCACAGGGCAGAGGGGGUCACUGCUAAGCAGUGUCGAUGGCUCUGUGCAGCCAUCAGAACCAGACACGAGACAGACAGUGGCCUGUGUGUCUACUUGAGGGAGAUUUUUUCCUUGCAUUUUGACAUGGUGUGAAGAGUCUGCCUUAUGUGAGGUGUUCUCCAUCAUUACUGAAGACAGUGGAUAAACAUGGGAGAAACCACUCAGCACCUUCAUUUUCAGCAAGGCCACUGUCAUGUGAAACAACCAGGGAAGAGCUCAGACACUGCUCCUGAGGCAGGCUGUGGGAAAGGAGCUCUUGGAGCAACAGGGGAGGACAAAGCUUAUUGUUCAUCACCAUAAUUUGUUCAUUAAGAAGAAAAAAAUAAAUAAAACAAGUAAAACCCCUCAAAACUUUUUUUGUAAGGUAACUGGGAGCCCUAAAUCCAGCGCUGACGUGCUCCUUGGAGAAAUGUGUGAGGCUCUUCAUUGCAACAAGAAUUUGUUUUCUCCUGAGGAGACUAAAAGCAGAGACUGGGAAUCCAGCCAGUGUAAAAAGUCUCAACUUUAUAAAUCUGGAGUUGGCCUGCCCUUAUCUCCCAAUAACCAUUCUUGUUUUUAUUAACAUAGUUCUUCUUUUUCAAGUAGGAUAACCCUUCUUAAGGACUUUGAGGGACUUCCCACAUGGAGAGAAACUGUAUAAGUACAGCUCAUGUUGGAUGAACAUUUGCAGAUUUGUGAACUGCUUGAAAUCCUGAGCUCCCAGGGUCUUUAGCUCCCCAAAUGGAAAACACCUACAGGCCAAAUAAAUCAAAUACAGUAAAACACUGGUUACAAGGCAACCAGUGAUCUCAUCUUUAUUUUCCCCUUUAGUUUUUAUUUUAAAAAAUGUCCGCAAACUGGAAUGAUGGGGAAGGGAGGAUUAGAAUUCUUUAGGGACCUUUUCCAAGCAUGGCUGUGCAUGCCUGUAGUCACAGCUACUUGGGAGUCUGAGGCAGGAGGAUCGCUUGAGCCCAGGAGUUCCAGACCAGCCUAGGCAACAAAGUGAGACCCAUCUCUACAAAAAAUACAAAAAUUCCUUAGGGAUCAGUUUUGACGGUGGGAUAACAAGUAUCUCUUACUAGUAUGUCACCUAUAUUUCAAUGGAUGCUUCUGGCUGGGCAUGGUGGCUCACACCUGUAAUUUCAGCACUCAGGGACUCUGAGGCAGGAGGACUACUGGAGGCCAGGAGUUCCAGACCAGCCUGGUCAACACAGCAAGACCCUGUCUCUAAGAAGUUUUUAGAAAUUAGCUGGGUGUGGUGGUGCACACCUGUAGUCCCAACUACUUGGGAGGCUGAGGUGGGAGGAUCGCUUGAGCCCAAGAGGUUGAGGCUGCAGUGAGCUACGAUUGAGCCACUGCACUCCAGCCUGGGUGACAGAGUAAGACCUUGCCUCCAAAAAAUAAAAAACUUAAAUAAAUAAAUAAAUGGGUGCUUCUAAGAAGCCUGGAAGAGCCAGUCCUCUGAACUAGACAGAAAAAUUUUACUCAAGAUGCUACUUACACAUGGAAUGAUACGGAUGAAUUCACAGACAUAACAUUAAGUGAAAGAAGCCAGACACAAGAGAGUGAAUACUACAUGAUCUUGUUUAUACACAUGAAGAACGAAACUAACAGAGCAGUCUAUGGCACCAGGAGCCAGGCACUCAUCCCUAGGGAAGGGGCAGUGCCUCAGAAGGAGCAGGAGGCCUCCAGAGCCCUGGUCAGAUCCCAUUUUUCAAUGUAGGUGUGGACCACACAGGGGAUGCUGACUUUACAGAUUCAUUUAACUGUUCACUCAUACGUGCAUUUCUCUAUAUGUAUAUUAUAUUCCAGUAACAUUUAAAAAUACACUAUAAUUGGCUUAGCAAAUAUCUUUAUAUAUAGUACAAAUGUUAAUUACUCAGUUUGAAUCAUGAAAACUGAAAAAUGAAAUUCAAAACAUUUAAUUAUAAAAUGUGUCCUUAAAAUAUUAACUUUUUCCUUCAAGAGGCCCUUAGACUGAUUCAAUUUUGAUAAACUCAGCUGGGUGUGGUGGCUCACGCCUGUAAUCCCAGCACAUUGGAAGGCUGAGGUGGGAGGACUGCUUGGAGCCCAGGAGUGCAAGACCAGCCUGGGCAACACAGCGAGACCCCCAUCUCUACCAAUUUUUUUUGGUAUUUUCGUAUUUCAUAUUUCCAUAUUUAAAUUUGUAAUUGCUUUUCUAUGUUUAAAAAAGCUCAUAUUUUUAUACUAUGAAGCCAUUCUAGCCAAUCUUUCAUAAAAGCAUUUAAUAAAGUUUCUUUUGACCAUCCAAUUCCCCAAAAUUAAAAGUUCUAAUGUAUGUGAUGCUAAAAUUUUGAAUUAGAACUAUACUUCAUAUGCUGUUAAGGAACUGGAGAAGCAAUGUAAACAGGGCAGUGAUACCUUCAGAGAGGCAUUCCCUGUUUCCAAAGAAUGCAGGGGUUGUCUCUGAACGUACCGUUCUAGAUGUGGGCGGGGCAGACGGGCUGGUCAGCGACAUGAUCUCCUGGAUGGCCAGCCUCAGCUUCAGCCUGUGCAGGGGGUUGCUGAUGCCAAUCUCACGCUGGAUCUCUGUGUCGGACAGGGCCGACAUGAUGGCCCCGCUUUUCACGUUUGCUCGGCAGGCAGCCACAUACCAGGCUGGCAUCCCAACCCAGAGCUGGAGGCGGAAAGCGGAAGGAAGGCAGCACAGUGAGGUACAGUCUACAAAGUAGAACAGUAAGUUCACAUACUGUAACCCACGCAACUGCAUGUUAAAUGAAGGAUGUACCUCUAGCCAGACCACAACCGUUGGCCCGUCCCAUUGGGCAAAAGGUAAACCUUGUCUCCGGGCUUCCUCCAGCAAUUCAUGCCUAUAAAGGAGAAGAUAUUGAAAAUUAAAGAAUCAGCCAGGCAUGGUAGCUCACACCUGUAAUCCCAGCUCUCUGGGAGGCCAAGGCAGGAGGACCACUUGAGCCCAGGAGUUCAAGACCAGCCUAGACAACACAGCGAGACCCCAACUCUACAAAAAA
RNAcentral lists this long non-coding RNA (4981 nucleotides) under Homo sapiens (human). RNAcentral's name for it is "HSALNT0363622". The stretch from base 3240 to 3387 matches the Rfam family "Metazoan signal recognition particle RNA". The record is from RNAcentral. Lineage: Eukaryota; Metazoa; Chordata; Mammalia; Primates; Hominidae.